GGUCGUGGCUCCAAUCAGGUAGAGCACCCGCUUGAAACGCGGGGCGUGCAGGUUCGACUCCUGCCGGGGCCACCU
RNAcentral lists this transfer RNA (75 nucleotides) under Actinomycetes bacterium. RNAcentral's name for it is "Actinobacteria bacterium tRNA-Phe". It matches the Rfam family "tRNA". Rfam says of the family: Transfer RNA (tRNA) molecules are approximately 80 nucleotides in length. Lineage: Bacteria; Bacillati; Actinomycetota; Actinomycetes. The record is from RNAcentral.